AGAGUUUGAUCCUGGCUCAGGACGAACGCUGGCGGCGUGCUUAACACAUGCAAGUCGAACGGUAAGGCCCUUCGGGGUACACGAGUGGCGAACGGGUGGGUAACACGUGGGUAAUCUGCCCUGCACAUCGGGAUAAGCCUGGGAAACUGGGUCUAAUACCGAAUAGGACCACAGGACACAUGUCCUGUGGUGGAAAGCUUUUGCGGUGUGGGAUGGGCCCGCGGCCUAUCAGCUUGUUGGUGGGGUGAUGGCCUACCAAGGCGACGACGGGUAGCCGGCCUGAGAGGGUGUCCGGCCACACUGGGACUGAGAUACGGCCCAGACUCCUACGGGAGGCAGCAGUGGGGAAUAUUGCACAAUGGGCGAAAGCCUGAUGCAGCGACGCCGCGUGGGGGAUGACGGCCUUCGGGUUGUAAACCUCUUUCACCAUCGACGAAGGUCCGGGUUUUCUCGGGCUGACGGUAGGUGGAGAAGAAGCACCGGCCAACUACGUGCCAGCAGCCGCGGUAAUACGUAGGGUGCGAGCGUUGUCCGGAAUUACUGGGCGUAAAGAGCUCGUAGGUGGUUUGUCGCGUUGUUCGUGAAAUCUCACGGCUUAACUGUGAGCGUGCGGGCGAUACGGGCAGACUUGAGUACUGCAGGGGAGACUGGAAUUCCUGGUGUAGCGGUGGAAUGCGCAGAUAUCAGGAGGAACACCGGUGGCGAAGGCGGGUCUCUGGGCAGUAACUGACGCUGAGGAGCGAAAGCGUGGGGAGCGAACAGGAUUAGAUACCCUGGUAGUCC
RNAcentral lists this ribosomal RNA (783 nucleotides) under uncultured bacterium. RNAcentral describes it as "bacterial SSU rRNA". It matches the Rfam family "Bacterial small subunit ribosomal RNA", at positions 8 to 796 of the family's 1533-position model. The record is from RNAcentral.